This 245-nucleotide ribosomal RNA is filed under the name uncultured Bacteroidales bacterium. Its description in RNAcentral is "partial 16S ribosomal RNA". It matches the Rfam family "Bacterial small subunit ribosomal RNA", at positions 524 to 768 of the family's 1533-position model. Lineage: Bacteria; Pseudomonadati; Bacteroidota; Bacteroidia; Bacteroidales. The record is from RNAcentral.
UACGGAGGAUGCGAGCGUUAUCCGGAUUUAUUGGGUUUAAAGGGUGCGUAGGCGGGUCGGCAAGUCAGCGGUGAAAUGUCGGGGCUCAACUUCGGAAUUGCCGUUGAUACUGCUGGUCUUGAAUACGGUCGAGGCAGGCGGAAUGUGUAAUGUAGCGGUGAAAUGCUUAGAUAUUACACAGAACACCUAUUGCGAAGGCAGCUUGCUAGGCCGGGAUUGACGCUGAGGCACGAAAGCGUGGGGAU